This 593-nucleotide long non-coding RNA is filed under the name Marmota monax (woodchuck). The record is from RNAcentral. Lineage: Eukaryota; Metazoa; Chordata; Mammalia; Rodentia; Sciuridae.
GGAGCCGGAGUUGCGGGGAGGGCAAGCGAGUCCGGGUGCCGGCUUUGAGGGUCGGCUUGCUCUCCCCCUCCCGCGAGGGCGGGGUGGUGCGUUCCGAGUUCCCAGGAGUUCGAGGCGGGCGGGUGCCGGGGGGAGGGGAGUGGCGGCGGCGGCGGGCGGGCGGCUCCCGCUUCAACCUCAGCAGUGGCGUCGGCGACGGCGGAGUCGAGGCACCCGCGAGCGCUCGGCUGAGAGUCAGCCGGCGGCGACGGCGCAAGAGCUAGGAGUUAGGGACACGCGCGCCGGACCUUCAGCCGCCGCUGCGCCGCGGCCGCUGCUGCCGCCACCCAGAGCCUGAGGCGCCGGGGCCCGGGGAGCCUGGGGGCCGGCGGGAGAGCGGGCCGGGGGGAGGGUGGGGUAUGGCGCGGACCCCGGGGCCGGCCCCGCUGUGUCCCGGAGGCGGCAAAGCACAACUUUCCUCCGCUUCUCCCCCCGGGGCCGGGCUCCUGCUGCCGCCCCCGACGCCACCGCCGCUGCUGCUGCUGCUCUUCCCGCUGCUGCUCUUCUCCCGGCUCUGUGGUAGGUGAACCGCGGCGGUCGGCGCGGGCUGAGGG